This 494-nucleotide ribosomal RNA is filed under the name uncultured bacterium. RNAcentral's name for it is "partial 16S ribosomal RNA". It matches the Rfam family "Bacterial small subunit ribosomal RNA", at positions 28 to 507 of the family's 1533-position model. The record is from RNAcentral.
GACGAACGCUGGCGGCGCGCUUAACACAUGCAAGUCGAACGGAAAGGCCUGCUUUCCCUUGUGGAUUGCGGGUACUCGAGUGGCGAACGGGUGAGUAACACGUGAGUGAUCUGCCCCCAACUUGGGUAUAAGCCUGGGAAACUGGGUCUAAUUCCCGAUAGGACUGCAGGGUGGUGCCUGUGGUGGAAAACGAUUUUCUAGUGGUUGGGGAUGAGCUCGCGGCCUAUCAGCUUGUUGGUGGGGUAAUGGCCUACCAAGGCGGCGACGGGUAGCCGGCCUGGGGGGGUGGACGGCAACAUUGGAACUGAGAUACGGCCAAGGCUCCUCCGGGAGGCAGCAGUGGGGAAUAUUGCGCAAGGGGCGGAGGCCUGAGGCAGCGACGCCGCGUGGGGGAUGACGGCCGUCGGGUUGUAAACUCCUUUCGACCGCGAGGAAGCCACCUGGUUGGAAGGGUGGUGACGGUAGUGGUAGAAGAAGCACCGGCUAACUACGUG